GCGGGUUCCAGAGCAAUGGCUUUUAACUCGUGCAGGCGGGUAAGUAUUCAACAAGUAGCUGUAUCUUCACACUGGGCUUACUGAGCGGGUUCCAGAGCAAUGGCUUUUAACUCGUGCAGGCGGGUAAGUAUUCAACAAGUAGCUGUAUCUUCACACUGGGCUUUACAGGGCGUAUUCAAGGGCAAUAGCUUUUAGCUCGUACAGACAGGUAAGUAUUCAACAAGUAACUGUAUCUUCACGCUGGGCUUUACAGGGCGUAUUCAAGGGCAAUAGCUUUUAGCUCGUACAGACAGGUAAGUAUUCAACAAGUGACUGGAUCUUCACGCUGGGCUUACAGAGCGUAUUCAAGGUCAGUAGCUUUCCCCACAAUAUCCGCACAAUACCUUGUUUUGCUUUCACACUUCACCUUCGAGCUGGGUCCGGAGAACGGAGUUAUAGGCGGGCGUAGGUGGGAUAGGUGGGCACCGCCACGGCAGCCUACGUUCUUUCCAACAGGAACUUUUCUCGGCCUGGAGGGCAAGUACAGACAACAGGGAAACGGCACAGCACUGCAAAGCUUUAGUGCACACACGUCAAAGACAGACUCACCCACUGCACUACACACACUUCAGUGAUUUUUAAGGUCGGUACUCCACACCCGGUCGGAUUUCGUCCUGGAGGAAUUUGCAGUCGCUGUCACGGUAAGUGCUCCAAACUUUACGGUGUGGCCACAGCCAAAUAACAUCCAUUCACCCACGCUCUAC
Molecule: long non-coding RNA, 743 nt
Organism: Cyprinus carpio carpio
Lineage: Eukaryota; Metazoa; Chordata; Actinopteri; Cypriniformes; Cyprinidae
Source: Ensembl